UCCCAUGUGGUCUAGUGGCUAGGAUUCCGCGCUUUCACCGCGGCGGCCGGGGUUCGAUUCCCCGCAUGGGAA
Molecule: transfer RNA, 72 nt
Organism: Ramazzottius varieornatus
Lineage: Eukaryota; Metazoa; Tardigrada; Eutardigrada; Parachela; Ramazzottiidae
Rfam family: tRNA
About the family: Transfer RNA (tRNA) molecules are approximately 80 nucleotides in length. Their secondary structure includes four short double-helical elements and three loops (D, anti-codon, and T loops).
Source: Rfam